Oncorhynchus tshawytscha (Chinook salmon) is the source of this 836-nucleotide long non-coding RNA. The record is from Ensembl. Lineage: Eukaryota; Metazoa; Chordata; Actinopteri; Salmoniformes; Salmonidae.
AAAUGAAUGGAAGUAUAGGGGUAUGAUCCCCAAAAAAGGCGUUAAAUAUAUAUCCCCCAAAAAACAAAGAAUAUUUCCUGAACUUUAAAACUUUCUUUUUGACUUGGUCUGUUAACCAUCUGAAUGUGUUAUUCGAUGAUUUUCUAUGGGAUAUAGCAGUAAAGGCCAAAUACAAUAUUUUAAAUCAAAGGCUUAGACAGCCUUGUUGUCCCUGAGGCAUAGAGAGAGGUCUCUGCCUUGUUGUCCCUGAGGCAUAGAGAGAGGUCUCUGCCUUGUUGUCCCUGAGGCAUAGAGAGAGGUCUCUGCCUCGUUGUCCCUGAGGCAUAGAGAGAGGUCUCUGCCUUGUUGUCCCUGAGGCAUAGAGAGAGGUCUCUGCCUUGUUGUCCCUGAGGCAUAGAGAGAGGUCUCUGCCUUGUUGUCCCUGAGGCAUAGAGAGAGGUCUCUGCCUUGUUGUCCCUGAGGCAUAGAGAGAGGUCUCUGCCUUGUUGUCCCUGAGGCAUAGAGAGAGAGGUCUCUGCCUUGUUGUCCCUGAGGCAUAGAGAGAGGGUCUCUGCCUUGUUGUCCCUGAGGCAUAGAGAGAGAGGUCUCUGCCUUGUUGUCCCUGAGGCAUAGAGAGAGGUCUCUGCCUUGUUGUCCCUGAGGCAUAGAGAGAGGUCUCUGCCUUGUUGUCCCUGAGGCACGGAGAGAGAGUUCUCUGCCCACUUAGCUGGAAAGCAAAUAUCAGAUGUCUAGUGGGCAGAGGUGUGUUUGUACUGUGCGUGCAUGCAUACCAAAUGUGUGUGUGUGUGUGUGUGUGUGUGUGUACUGAGCGUGGAUUCAUGUCUGUGUGUGAGUGU